RNAcentral lists this long non-coding RNA (408 nucleotides) under Cricetulus griseus (Chinese hamster). RNAcentral describes it as "lncRNA (ENSCGRG00015038295.1)". Lineage: Eukaryota; Metazoa; Chordata; Mammalia; Rodentia; Cricetidae. The record is from RNAcentral.
CUGGACAUCAGAAAUCCUCGUUGCUCUCCCUAACAUCCAAUUGUGUUCACAUCCGCACUUUGACCAAGAGCCUAGGCCAAGGUGUCCCCUGACUGGCUGUGAACCCUUAUCAUCCUUGCUCCCAGGACCAGCUCCAACCACUUUACAGUGACACUGUGCCUGUAGAAACUCCCUCAUGGGCACCUACAUGUGUGAGAAUCCACACUGAAGCAUGGCAGGUGGAGCCAAGCCCAUCGGAGCAGCAGGCAGUCACCGCUGAGCCCCAGCAAGGGCCAGAGCCAGCAGUGCCCAGCCCCUCUGGAUCAGAGACACACUCGGUGUCCCCACAGCAGACAUAUACUGCAAAUGGUCUUUUCAUAGCCCCAAUUUCAUUAAAAAUUAAAGCUGGCUUUGGAGUUGGAAUGUGGC